This 783-nucleotide ribosomal RNA is filed under the name uncultured bacterium. Its description in RNAcentral is "bacterial SSU rRNA". It matches the Rfam family "Bacterial small subunit ribosomal RNA", at positions 51 to 829 of the family's 1533-position model. The record is from RNAcentral.
ACACAUGCAAGUCGAGCGGGGGAAGUUGCUUCGGUAACUGACCUAGCGGCGGACGGGUGAGUAAUGCUUAGGAAUCUGCCUAUUAGUGGGGGACAACAUCUCGAAAGGGAUGCUAAUACCGCAUACGUCCUACGGGAGAAAGCAGGGGACCUUCGGGCCUUGCGCUAAUAGAUGAGCCUAAGUCGGAUUAGCUAGUUGGUGGGGUAAAGGCCUACCAAGGCGACGAUCUGUAGCGGGUCUGAGAGGAUGAUCCGCCACACUGGGACUGAGACACGGCCCAGACUCCUACGGGAGGCAGCAGUGGGGAAUAUUGGACAAUGGGGGGAACCCUGAUCCAGCCAUGCCGCGUGUGUGAAGAAGGCCUUUUGGUUGUAAAGCACUUUAAGCGAGGAGGAGGCUACCGAGAUUAAUACUCUUGGAUAGUGGACGUUACUCGCAGAAUAAGCACCGGCUAACUCUGUGCCAGCAGCCGCGGUAAUACAGAGGGUGCAAGCGUUAAUCGGAUUUACUGGGCGUAAAGCGCGCGUAGGUGGCCAAUUAAGUCAAAUGUGAAAUCCCCGAGCUUAACUUGGGAAUUGCAUUCGAUACUGGUUGGCUAGAGUAUGGGAGAGGAUGGUAGAAUUCCAGGUGUAGCGGUGAAAUGCGUAGAGAUCUGGAGGAAUACCGAUGGCGAAGCAGCCAUCUGGGCCUAAUACUGACACUGAGUGCGAAAGCAUGGGGAGCAAACAGGAUUAGAUACCCUGGUAGUCCAUGCCGUAAACGAUGUCUACUAGCCGUUGGGGC